Molecule: ribosomal RNA, 683 nt
Filed under: Lactiplantibacillus pentosus
Lineage: Bacteria; Bacillati; Bacillota; Bacilli; Lactobacillales; Lactobacillaceae
Description: bacterial SSU rRNA
Rfam family: Bacterial small subunit ribosomal RNA
Source: RNAcentral
UGAUUUACAUUUGAGUGAGUGGCGAACUGGUGAGUAACACGUGGGAAACCUGCCCAGAAGCGGGGGAUAACACCUGGAAACAGAUGCUAAUACCGCAUAACAACUUGGACCGCAUGGUCCGAGUUUGAAAGAUGGCUUCGGCUAUCACUUUUGGAUGGUCCCGCGGCGUAUUAGCUAGAUGGUGGGGUAACGGCUCACCAUGGCAAUGAUACGUAGCCGACCUGAGAGGGUAAUCGGCCACAUUGGGACUGAGACACGGCCCAAACUCCUACGGGAGGCAGCAGUAGGGAAUCUUCCACAAUGGACGAAAGUCUGAUGGAGCAACGCCGCGUGAGUGAAGAAGGGUUUCGGCUCGUAAAACUCUGUUGUUAAAGAAGAACAUAUCUGAGAGUAACUGUUCAGGUAUUGACGGUAUUUAACCAGAAAGCCACGGCUAACUACGUGCCAGCAGCCGCGGUAAUACGUAGGUGGCAAGCGUUGUCCGGAUUUAUUGGGCGUAAAGCGAGCGCAGGCGGUUUUUUAAGUCUGAUGUGAAAGCCUUCGGCUCAACCGAAGAAGUGCAUCGGAAACUGGGAAACUUGAGUGCAGAAGAGGACAGUGGAACUCCAUGUGUAGCGGUGAAAUGCGUAGAUAUAUGGAAGAACACCAGUGGCGAAGGCGGCUGUCUGGUCUGUAACUGACGC